UUUUAUUCUCAUCAGAUUUGGUACCCUCCUCUGGUUUGCUUUGAUCGGUACUCUUCAAUUGACACUGCAUGUGCUCGCUUCCACUAUUAGCUUGUACCAUCGGAAUCAAUGGUACAUCUGGAGGUCCUUGACUUCUAGGUAAACUUUGAGAAAUGGGAGGAUCUGCAGGUGGAAUCACUGGUCCAGAUUGAGGCUCUGAGUUGUUAUCAACCUUAUCAGCUACUGUUGGAAGUACGGGAACUCCAGAUGGAU
This 252-nucleotide long non-coding RNA is filed under the name Nicotiana benthamiana. RNAcentral's name for it is "long non-coding RNA (NBEN_LNC023491)". Lineage: Eukaryota; Viridiplantae; Streptophyta; Magnoliopsida; Solanales; Solanaceae. The record is from RNAcentral.